UACGUAGGGCGCAAGCGUUGUCCGGAAUUACUGGGCGUAAAGGGCGCGUAGGCGGCCUGCUAAGUCGAACGUGAAAUCCCCGGGCUCAACCCGGGAACUGCGUCCGAUACUGGCAGGCUUGAAUUCGGGAGAGGGAUGCGGAAUUCCAGGUGUAGCGGUGAAAUGCGUAGAUAUCUGGAGGAACACCGGUGGCGAAGGCGGCAUCCUGGACCGAAAUUGACGCUGAGGCGCGAAAGCCAGGGGAGCAAACGGG
This 253-nucleotide ribosomal RNA is filed under the name uncultured bacterium. RNAcentral describes it as "partial 16S ribosomal RNA". It matches the Rfam family "Bacterial small subunit ribosomal RNA", at positions 524 to 776 of the family's 1533-position model. The record is from RNAcentral.